GCGGGUCAGCGUUAUCGGAUUUACUGGGCGUAAGCGCACGCAGGCGGUCUUGUCAGUCGGAAGUUGAAUCCCCGGGCUUCAACCCGGGAACCGCACCCGAAACCGGCAGGCUAGAGUUUUCGUAGAAGGGGGGUAGAAUUCCAGGUGUAGCGGUGAAACGCGUAGAGAUCUGGAGGAAUACCGGUGGCGAAGGCGGCCCCCUGGACAAAGACUGACGCUCAGGUGCGAAAGCGUGGGGGAGCAAACAGGAUUAGAUACCCUGGUAGUCCACGCCGUAAACGAUGUCGAUUUUGGAGGUUGUGCCCUUUGAGGCGUGGCUUCCGGAGCUAACGCGUUAAAUCGACCGCCUGGGGAGUACGGCCGCAAGGUUAAAACUCAAAUGAAUUGACGGGGGCCCGCACAGCGGUGGAGCAUGUGGUUUAAUUCGAUGCAACGCGAAGAACCUUACCUGGUCUUGACAUCCACAGAACUUUCCAGAGAUGGAUUGGUGCCUUCAGGAACUGUGAGACAGUGCCUGCAUGGCUGUCGUCAGCUCGUGUUGUGAAUUGUUGGGUUAAGUCCCGCAACGAGCGCAACCCUUAUCUUUGUUGCAGCGGUUAGGCGGGACUCAAAGGAGACUGCAUGAUAACUGGAGAAAAGG
This 640-nucleotide ribosomal RNA is filed under the name Enterobacter cloacae subsp. dissolvens. RNAcentral describes it as "bacterial SSU rRNA". It matches the Rfam family "Bacterial small subunit ribosomal RNA", at positions 530 to 1173 of the family's 1533-position model. Lineage: Bacteria; Pseudomonadati; Pseudomonadota; Gammaproteobacteria; Enterobacterales; Enterobacteriaceae. The record is from RNAcentral.